GCCUCGGUAGUCUAAAGGCUUAGGACGUUCGCACGGAAUGUAAGAGAUCCAGGUUCGACUCCCGGCUGAGGUA
Non-coding RNA from Trachymyrmex cornetzi, 73 nucleotides. The record is from Rfam. Lineage: Eukaryota; Metazoa; Arthropoda; Insecta; Hymenoptera; Formicidae.